GUGACAGCAGCCGCGGUAACACGUAGGAGACGAGCGUUAUCCGGAUUUACUGGGUGUAAAGCGCGUGCAGGCGGUAUGGUAAGUUGGAUGUGAAAGCUCCUGGCUUAACUGGGAGAGGUCGUACAAGACUGCCAAACUAGAGGACAGCAGAGGGGAGUGGAAUUCCGAGUGUAGCGGUAAAAUGCAUAGAUAUUCGGAAGAACACCAGUGGCGAAGGCGGCUCUCUGGGCUGUACCUGACGCUCAGACGCGAAAGCUAGGGUAGCAAACGGGAUUAGAUACCCGUGUAGUCC
RNAcentral lists this ribosomal RNA (292 nucleotides) under uncultured bacterium. RNAcentral describes it as "partial 16S ribosomal RNA". It matches the Rfam family "Bacterial small subunit ribosomal RNA", at positions 505 to 796 of the family's 1533-position model. The record is from RNAcentral.